GUCCCCGUAGCUCAGUGGUUUUAGAGCGCCGGUAGCCUUGCAUUACUAAAAAAAGCAUUGAUUUAACUUGACCUUAAUGAGUGAAAAGUGCAACGAUAACGAGGUCCGCGGUUCGAAUUCGCGUGGGGACA
Non-coding RNA from Apodospora peruviana, 131 nucleotides. NCBI's taxonomy places the organism in Eukaryota, Fungi, Ascomycota, Sordariomycetes, Sordariales, Lasiosphaeriaceae. The record is from the annotation of a GenBank genome assembly.